UGCCAGCAGCGUACCACCCUGCAUCCCACUGCUGCCUUUCCUCUGAAGCUAAGCAGGGUUGGUCCUGGUCAGUCACUGGAUGGGAGACCAGGUGGUGUUGGAGGGCUGGUAG
This is a ribosomal RNA of Hucho hucho (huchen), 112 nucleotides long. The record is from Ensembl. NCBI's taxonomy places the organism in Eukaryota, Metazoa, Chordata, Actinopteri, Salmoniformes, Salmonidae.